RNAcentral lists this ribosomal RNA (450 nucleotides) under uncultured bacterium. Its description in RNAcentral is "bacterial SSU rRNA". It matches the Rfam family "Bacterial small subunit ribosomal RNA", at positions 354 to 796 of the family's 1533-position model. The record is from RNAcentral.
GUGGGGAAUAUUGGACAAUGGGCGAAAGCCUGAUCCAGCCAUGCCGCGUGUGUGAAGAAGGUCUUCGGAUUGUAAAGCACUUUAAGUUGGGAGGAAGGGCAGUAAGUUAAUACCUUGCUGUUUUGACGUUACCAACAGAAUAAGCACCGGCUAACUUCGUGCCAGCAGCCGCGGUAAUACGAAGGGUGCAAGCGUUAAUCGGAAUUACUGGGCGUAAAGCGAGCGUAGGUGGUUUUGUAAGUUGGAGGUGAAAUCCCCGGGCUCAACCUGGGAACUGCAUCCAAAACUGCAUGACUAGAGUACGGUAGAGGGUAGUGGAAUUUCCUGUGUAGCGGUGAAAUGCGUAGAUAUAGGAAGGAACACCAGUGGCGAAGGCGACUACCUGGACUGAUACUGACACUGAGGUGCGAAAGCGUGGGGAGCAAACAGGAUUAGAUACCCCAGUAGUCC